CCUACGGGUGGCAGUAGUGGGGAAUAUUGGACAAUGGGCGAAAGCCUGAUCCAGCCAUGCCGCGUGUGUGAAGAAGGCCUUCGGGUUGUAAAGCACUUUCAGUGGGGAAGAAAGCCUUGGGGCUAAUACCCUCGAGGAAGGACAUCACCCACAGAAGAAGCACCGGCUAACUCCGUGCCAGCAGCCGCGGUAAUACGGAGGGUGCGAGCGUUAAUCGGAAUUACUGGGCGUAAAGCGCGCGUAGGCGGUCUGAUAAGCCGGUUGUGAAAGCCCCGGGCUCAACCUGGGAACGGCAUCCGGAACUGUCAGGCUAGAGUGCAGGAGAGGAAGGUAGAAUUCCCGGUGUAGCGGUGAAAUGCGUAGAGAUCGGGAGGAAUACCAGUGGCGAAGGCGGCCUUCUGGACUGACACUGACGCUGAGGUGCGAAAGCGUGGGUAGCAAACAGGAUUAGAUACCCGAGUAGUC
Molecule: ribosomal RNA, 465 nt
Filed under: Vreelandella stevensii
Lineage: Bacteria; Pseudomonadati; Pseudomonadota; Gammaproteobacteria; Oceanospirillales; Halomonadaceae
Description: partial 16S ribosomal RNA
Rfam family: Bacterial small subunit ribosomal RNA
Source: RNAcentral